AAAGAUCGAACACAUGACUUACCAUCGAA
Molecule: small RNA, 29 nt
Filed under: Bombyx mori (domestic silkworm)
Lineage: Eukaryota; Metazoa; Arthropoda; Insecta; Lepidoptera; Bombycidae
Description: ovarian small RNA-10060
Source: RNAcentral